This 3504-nucleotide long non-coding RNA is filed under the name Homo sapiens (human). Its description in RNAcentral is "non-protein coding LINC01135:14". Lineage: Eukaryota; Metazoa; Chordata; Mammalia; Primates; Hominidae. The record is from RNAcentral.
GUCUAGUGACGGUGGCUGCCGCGAGCGGGCGGACGCUCGCAACCUCUGAUGGAGGGGGGCUCAAGUUCACGGCUGCGGACGGGGAUGCGGGGGAUGCAGGGACCCGGGAGGCCAGGGAACCUGGCCAGUUGUUUUGGGCCAGGGGUGCGGGCGAGGGGUGGUUGUUGUUUCCCCACUUGUGGGGCCCGAAGUCAUCCACCGGCGGCCGCCACCGCGCGGGGCUGGAGGCUGAGAAUCCAAGUACGCUGCCACCCCCCCGCACUUCCGGGGGGGCGGGAAUACCGCCCUUAAGGUGGCUCUGUGAAGUCCCAGGUGGGGGCGAGCCUAAGGGGACUUAAGUUUAGGGGCGGUCUCCCGAGAGUCGGCCCCCCACGUUGAGAACACUCCGAAGUUUGCAUCUCGGUCAAGUUCAGGAGCGACGGUCCGCGGGGUCGUCUGGCUGCUCGUAGAAGCCGAGAGAUUUGUAUUGCCCGAAACUGGACGCUCAGCUGAGUCUCCGUUGCACCCCACUUCAUCCUCCGGGACCGUGGGGGAAAGGGCGCGGGGGUUCACAGCUUUGCCUCGGAGGGGCAGUUUUUAUAGUGGGCGCAAUUGGUGGGUAACAGGGUCCAGAUGGGAACAAGCGUGUAGGCGAUCCGAAACUCGGGGAACCCCGGUGUUAGUCUACUCCCCCUCCCGCCCCCGGACAACACGCACACGCUUAACACAACACGCACAACAUAACGCGCGCGCGCGCGCACACACACACUCCAUCCGCGCCGAGUUGCUUCCGGGAAAACAAGCCCAGAAGGCGGCGGACACUCGCAUAAAGUCACGCAGUAGUACUCGGAGCCCGGGGUAGAACCUGGACUUCAAAUCUCUGCACUCCCGGCCGGGUGGUGGGCGCAUAUCCUGGGUAGCCUCUAGGAAGCGCUAGACACAUGGAACCAAGGCAGAUUCAGCCUGGCAGCUGGCAAGUCAUGGAGCACUGCCUGUCCAUCUGCGAGCUAACAACAGUCGCGCUGGAAGUCAACAAGGGAAAUGGAAAGGGAGAGACCCAGCCUCCACAGGGGCUCACGCCCUGGGACCUGUGCCAGUGUGAACAAGGUUUUCCGGUUCUAGCCAGAGGAAGCUGCAGCCAGGCCUGGCAGUCUCCCCUGCUCCCUUCCACCAGCUUGGUUCCUGUUUCUGCUGGUCCUGGGAGCCCCCAGCAGAUGGACUGCCCUUAUCAGCCGGCUCCAGGCCAGAGGAGGAAUCCUCCGGUCACGUGUGGCUCUCUGGAGGGAGAGAGACCUCAUAAAUACAUACAGCCCACGCAGAGGAAGGGGGGAGGGUCAAGGGGAAAGAAACCUUGACAUUCUGGCGACUGGGCCAGGAUUAAAGUCCACCAGGCAUAGUCCUUAUUGGCUAUUUCUAUGAGGAAUCUCAAAUCCACAUGGCUUCCCUGGAUGACAACGCUGACUUUGACUAGCCCUGGGAUCUGGGGCAUUCCCAGUGUGCUGCUGGCUUGAUCCAGGCCUAAUCCUUUGCCCAGGACUGACCUUUCACAGUUUACAGAGCACUUUAUCUCCUGGCUCAGUGAAGUCUCACAGAACCCUCCAGAGAGAAGGGAGUUUAUCAUCACCCUCAAUUUACAGAUGAGGAAGCUGAGGCUGCGAUUGUAACUGACUGACUGCUGGCUACGCAGCUACAAGUGACCGAGUCCAGCCUGAAAGCCACAUAUAUUCUCCCACAAAAUCCAGAGCUGCCAAACACAUCCUCCUCCAUGAGUCUUGCUUUGUGCCCAUCACUGAGCUCCAUGCCCCGGGCGAGCCAUCGUUCCUGCCUGGCGAAGUCCACAAUCCAAUAAGGAGGGAAGGUUGAAGGGAUGAAUCUCAACAGAAUUGUGCACAGUGAAAGAAGCCAAUGAAAGAAGAGUACAUAUUGUAUAAUUCCAUUUAUAGAAAACUCUAGAAAAUGCAAGCUGAUCUACAGUGACAGAAAGCAGAUCCAUGGUUGUUUGGGGAAGUGAGGCAGAAGGAAAGGAUUCAGAGAAGCACAAGGAACCUUUUAGGGUGGUAGACAUGCUUACUAUCUGGUACUGAGAGUUUCUCAUGUCUGCACGUAUCUAAUUGUACACUUUAAAUACACACAGUUUAUUGUAUGUCAAUUAUAUCUCCAUAAAGCUAUUUAAAAAGAGGAACGUAAGUGGGGAAAAGAAUGAAGGAAGUUGGCUGGCGUAUAAUUAAGUAAGUCUGUGAGCAGUCUUAAAGUGGGGACACAAAGUACCAUGGGCACGUAAGAGAAGAAGGUAGAGAUUCAUUCCCAAACGGAAGAGAUCAGGAAGGAGUUCUUAGAACAGGGUUUCAACAAAGCUCAAGGUAUGGAUAAGUAAGGGUCAGGUUAAGAAAGAUUCAGAUGGAAGAUACAGAUAGAGUUUAUUUGGGAAAUAGAGAGUGGAGUAUUAUACACACGCACAAUUCGCCUUUUUACCCAAGUUUUGAAGGACUGAAGUUAAAACUAACAGCAACUAUCCUCUCUUUUCUUCAGAAAUUCAGACACAUGCCCUACUUGGCAGGCAGCUAGUUUUGCUAAUAAGAUUCCUGCCCUUCUCCCUCCCUCUCUGUGCAUCUCAUCCCUUCGGUCCCGCUGAGGCCCCUACCCUCUCGGAUUUCCUCUUUGAACUGAACUGCCAAAUACUUGCCAGCUUCCAGGGCCCUGAGUACCCACAUUUCAGCCUCUUCCAAACCCCAGAGUAAGAAGGAGAUUUGGGGAGUUCUGGGUGGGCAUGUGAUGGGAGACUAGGUCCAACAUAAAAAGAUAUUUCCCUUUUUCUUCCAUACUUUUUGGCUUAGUAAUUGACAUGUGACCAUUGGAGAAUUUUGAAUAGUUUAUUAGAAUACAUUGUGAUAGAGAAGAAGGAAAUUCAAGAAUUGUUACAAUGUUGUACACUGAUUAACUGGCUAAUUUGCUGCAAAACCAAUUCUGAUCACUGCUCUUAUGGUUUGUAAUACAUUAUUUUGGGUUUGGAUGAUCCUGUUAUUCAUAGCUUUACAUAAAGAAAUAUUCCAAUGACAUAUGAAACCCAUAUAUGAAAUUGUGGGUUAGCUCUUGCUUUCAAUUUUGUAUUAUGUUUGUUGAUUUUAAACUGUCUCCUUUCAAAAGUUUCCUUAUUAAUUAAAUAAACCACUCAGCCACAUUCCCCUCAUCUAACUCAGUACCCAAGUGUAAGCUCAAUUCUGGAGUCGCCUUUCCAACCUUGGCUUAAGGGACAUUAGUCACUAGGAACAAAACAUGGCAUUUGAACAGCUGUUUUGGGUAUUCAGAGUCCAAACCCUACAGGUCUGGAGAAGGUGGGGGUUGGGGGAAGGAAACCAAUAUUUACUUACUGAAUACCUACUCUGAGCCAGGCACUGGGGACUUCACAGAGAGUAUGUCUUUUAAUUUUCUGAACAGCUCAUUAAUGUGUUCUGCCUCCUCUAGGCAUAGCAAGGUUAAGAAUUUAUCAAAGAUCACACAGCUCAUAAGUGGUGGAGCUGGGACUUG